Molecule: unclassified non-coding RNA, 763 nt
Filed under: Hevea brasiliensis (rubber tree)
Lineage: Eukaryota; Viridiplantae; Streptophyta; Magnoliopsida; Malpighiales; Euphorbiaceae
Source: RNAcentral
AGUUACCUCAGCAUCAGCAGCAAAUUCUUGCCCAACAGCAACUUAGGCAAGCCUCAAUGCCUGGACUGGGGCAGCUGCAUGGUCAGCCACAGAUGCAGUUCUCUCAGCCACUGGGAGCACAGCAGUUUCAAGGUAGGCAGCUACCAUCUGGUGCCCUUCAUCACGGUAUGGGUCAAAGUCAGCUCAACCAAGGAAAUCAGCUGAAUCGACAUUUAAACCAGUUUUCUAGUCCUAUGAAUACUGCACUAUUCAAUUCUGCCCAAAGCACACCUAGCUCUCAGAUGAUCUCAAAUAUGUCAGCAAUGGUGCCAUCACAAACUCUUCUGCCACGAAUGCAGUUUGGAAUGUCUGGUGGAACUCGGAAUCUUGCUGCUGCAAACCUGAGUGAUCAAAUGUUCAAUAUGGGAGGAAACAAUCCUGGUAUGAUGUCAAUCCAACAGCAGCAGCAUGGCACAUUUGGAAACAUGUCACAAAAUACACAGAAUCUGCAGCAGGGUAUGAUGCCUCUUCAGAACGCACCUCAGACCCACCCUUCCUUUCAGCAACAAAGACCACAAGGCCAACAGUGAAGUAUCUAAGAUUAGAUGGAAGAGGAGGAUAUUUAUACCAAACCUCAACAUUUCCUAACUUUGUUUGAUCUUUAAAAAAAAAAUGUGAAGGCCAGAUUCUUGCAGGAAAUUUUUGUUGGAACAUUACAUUUGUUAAAAGAAGAUUGUAAAAUUACGUGCCUUGUACAUUAUUCAGUCGUAAAUGUAAAUCAGAA